UCUCUCUCUCUCUCUCUCUCUCUCCUCUCCUCUCCUGGUGAGAAAGAAAGAUACAACCCUCUUCUCUCUUUGCUUUGCUCUGAAUCCACUCAAACUCAAAGGGAAUGCGACUUGGUAAAUACGAGCUCGGCAGGACUCUUGGGGAAGGCAAUUUUGGAAAAGUCAAAUUAGCGAAGAACAUUGAAUCCGGCCAACCUUUUGCUGUUAAGAUUCUUGAGAAGAACAGAAUCAUCC
Molecule: unclassified non-coding RNA, 234 nt
Filed under: Hevea brasiliensis (rubber tree)
Lineage: Eukaryota; Viridiplantae; Streptophyta; Magnoliopsida; Malpighiales; Euphorbiaceae
Source: RNAcentral